Long non-coding RNA from Leopardus geoffroyi (Geoffroy's cat), 716 nucleotides. RefSeq lists it as uncharacterized. NCBI's taxonomy places the organism in Eukaryota, Metazoa, Chordata, Mammalia, Carnivora, Felidae. The transcript is spliced from 2 exons. The record is from RefSeq and is a predicted model, not a curated record.
CAAGAGAGAACGAGAGGGAGAAAUUGGAGGACAGACAACAGCUUUAAGGAGUUUUUGCUGUAAAGUGGAACACUGAAAUGGAUGUGGGCUGGAAGGGGGUCAAGAGAGAUUUUUGGAAAUUUCUCUUAUCUUCACAAAACUGUUCAUGCAGUUGGAAAUAAUGCAGCUGGGAGGGAAAAGUUGAUGGUGCAGGAGAAUGGGGGACUGGAGCAAGGCUCCGAGUGGCAGGCGGGGACAUGAAGCGAGGUACACACAGAGGUGCUGGCCUUCAGUGGAAGCACCGGUCGUUCAUCCAGGCUGUGCAGGGUGCAAGCAGAAGACAUGGACGAAGGGGAAGGGAUCUCUAGGAAGAGACUUGCCAACUCUGAGGCACAUUGAAAAGACCCACAAGUCUACUUCAUGUCAACUGGAAUAUUCACAUGUAAAAUUUGGGUAUAUUUUAGGAAAUUCAUACAACUGUUCUCACAUGAGAUUAAAAAAUCAGAAUCUUACUGAUUUUGAAUUUAUAAUCUAAGAAACUGGUAAAAUGUGCUGUUACAAUAAUAGCAUCAUAUUUCUUUUAGAGUAAUCAGAGAAUUUAGGCGUAAAGACCGUUAGAGAAUGCUUACCUAUAUUUCCUCCAAUUUCAUAUAACCGUUGGUUCUGAAUCUUAAUGCAUUCUGACGAACCAUAACUGAAAAAAAGAAGGCAAUGUAAUUUUAACCCUGUUCUAUGAU